RNAcentral lists this ribosomal RNA (253 nucleotides) under uncultured bacterium. RNAcentral describes it as "partial 16S ribosomal RNA". It matches the Rfam family "Bacterial small subunit ribosomal RNA", at positions 524 to 776 of the family's 1533-position model. The record is from RNAcentral.
UACGAAGGUCCCAAGCGUUAUCCGGAUUUAUUGGGUUUAAAGGGCGCGUAGGCGGUUCGCUAAGUUGGAUGUGAAAACUCUGGGCUCAACUCCGGGCCUGCAGCCGAUACGGGCAGACUAGAGUUCGGCAGGGGAGACUGGAAUUCCUGGUGUAGCGGUGAAAUGCGCAGAUAUCAGGAGGAACACCGGUGGCGAAGGCGGGUCUCUGGGCCGAUACUGACGCUGAGGAGCGAAAGCGUGGGGAGCGAACAGG